This is a long non-coding RNA of Daphnia pulicaria, 383 nucleotides long. RefSeq lists it as uncharacterized. The record is from RefSeq and is a predicted model, not a curated record. The transcript has 3 exons. Lineage: Eukaryota; Metazoa; Arthropoda; Branchiopoda; Diplostraca; Daphniidae.
CAUUUCGCUACACACCAAAGGCCCAGGAUAUCAGCUUCUUGCCAAAGAAAGGAAUCAUUCCUAGUACUAUGGUGUAACCUUCUACGUAUUUUUGGUGGGGGAGCCAGCUUGCCCAACGGGAAGAAUGUUCCUUUGGAGAAAAGAGGAUAGUAUACUCGAAGAAAGCAACCAUCUUCCUUGCUGGGUCCACCAGUCAUUUUGUUGGUGUAGCCAACAACAUACUUCCCUUUAUAAUCAAUAACAACAUUAAACAACGCGAAACUGUUGAUGAAAUUUCCAGGUGCGUUCUUAAACCUGCAAACGCAACAAAGUUUGUACGCAAUUAAUAAAUGUGGUUUUUCCUUUUGUGCAGCAUCACCGGCAUCACUAUCAUUCUCUAAAUA